Molecule: ribosomal RNA, 254 nt
Filed under: uncultured bacterium
Lineage: Bacteria
Description: partial 16S ribosomal RNA
Rfam family: Bacterial small subunit ribosomal RNA
Source: RNAcentral
UACGUAGGGUGCAAGCGUUGUCCGGAAUUAUUGGGCGUAAAGAGCUCGUAGGCGGUUUGUUGCGUCGGCUGUGAAAUCCCGAGGCUCAACCUCGGGUCUGCAGUCGAUACGAGCAAACUAGAGUGUUGCAGGGGAGACUGGAAUUCCUGGUGUAGCGGUGAAAUGCGCAGAUAUCAGGAGGAACACCGGUGGCGAAGGCGGGUCUCUGGGCAACAACUGACGCUGGAGGAGCGAAAGCGUGGGGAGCGAUCCGG